AAAAAAAAAAAAAAAAAAAAAAACAGGUCUCUUAAACCAUUAUAUAGUAAAUUAGCACUUACUUCUAAUGA
This 71-nucleotide transfer RNA is filed under the name Culex pipiens pipiens. Its description in RNAcentral is "tRNA-Lys". Lineage: Eukaryota; Metazoa; Arthropoda; Insecta; Diptera; Culicidae. The record is from RNAcentral.